CAGCAGUCAUUCUGUGGGUGGUAACAGAUCAUUAAUGAGUGAGGUCAGAGGACAAUGGGCAGAACAAACAGGAAGAGCACGAACACAAAAACAGCAGCUCACUAAAACAGCUGUGUGCAGAAAGGCUUCUCUGAAUGCAAAAUUCGUCAACCCCUCGGGUUGUUCUGGAGGCAAAAGUGGGUCCUACCUGGUGCUAUGUAGGGCUUCCUGGGAUAAGCUUCAGGCUCACCGUGCCGUUGUCCUGGAUAAGCUUAAGAAAUAUGGGUUCACCCUGGAUGGGAUUCCGGUCCAUGCAGAUAAGUCUAUCUAUGCUUCACCCCAAAGAAAGCUUCUCAUCACCUUCGUCAAGGGGGUAUCAGACUCUGCGAGAUCAUCUUUUAGCACUGUGAGGCCUAGGAUUGUGAUGUCCUUAUAUACAGCGUGUUGGGGAUCUACCUGGGCUCAUAGCACUGUUUGUGGAGAUACUGGUCCAGACGGCGGUCAUCACUCAACUGUUAAACCCCCUCCCAGAGGUAGCAAAAUGGAGAAGAAUGGAAGGUAUGUGCAGAAAUGGAGCCGUGGUUUGAGUACAUUACGCAGCGUAGCAGAAUAGAUGUGCUGAUCUGAAUGGAGAGGCUUUUCAGAUCAAAGUCUGCAGUGUCCAAAUCAACUUUUAGACUUACUUGCUUUAGACUGGGAAUUAGAAGUAAAGCAUGAAAAAGCAUUGUGAAAUAUUCUCUGUAAUUCUACUGAUGAUCUGUGACAAUUAGUGUAUACAGUUACUAGUGUGUUAGGUCACUGGUUUUUCAUUAAAAUAAAUUUGAUGUAGAGUUGUUAACGCAUUUACUGUAUUUACUGCUCAGUAUUCUCGUUGGUCUCAUUUGCGUUAAAUUGUUUUCAUUGUGACUGGAAUGCAUCUACAAUAUAUCUAGAAUGUAAGUCUACAGAAAGAAAAUGUAAUGAGAUUAGUUAGGCUGUUGUGGGGACCCAUUUUGUCUGCAUCGGAGGUCAUCUUUAGCUCGGGAAAAUAUCCGGCAUGAUAUAUUGGGAAGCCCGGGGGCCAUGUUUUGGCUAAUGGACCCAGCUGUUUGCAAUG
Molecule: long non-coding RNA, 1075 nt
Organism: Brienomyrus brachyistius
Lineage: Eukaryota; Metazoa; Chordata; Actinopteri; Osteoglossiformes; Mormyridae
Exons: 3
Source: RefSeq, a predicted model, not a curated record